Molecule: long non-coding RNA, 627 nt
Filed under: Mytilus galloprovincialis (Mediterranean mussel)
Lineage: Eukaryota; Metazoa; Mollusca; Bivalvia; Mytilida; Mytilidae
Source: RNAcentral
CAUUUAUUUAUUCGAAGCUUUUUAUUUUUUGUUACAAAACAAUGAAAAACUUUCGAUUUUGACCUAGCAAAUAAGCUCUACAAAAGUUUCUUUUUCUGCAUGUAGAGCUUGCAUAUUUCACAACAAAUAUAUUUUAUUCAUUUAAAAAAAACUUACUUGUCAACAGAAGAUGAAAAUUCAAAUGAUUGGUCUAACGUUUUUAACGCUCUAUGUCUCAGUCAUCUAAUGGGUCAAUUAAAGAAAACUCUAAACCAAGAAUUAUUACAUGAAAGAUAUACAAUUGAAAGAAUUCUAAGUGUCCUUAGUCCUGAAAUCAGUUGCUUUUGGUGAAGAUGGACUCGUGUAAAAUCAUUGACCACUGAAUAGUAUAUUUAAAGCCUACAACAUUACUUUUAAUUCCUAAAAACCUUUCAAUUUUCAUUAGAAAAGAAAAGUCAGUGAUAUAUCAUUGAUUUUAUAACGUAUCCUUGAAAUUAAACAAACAACAAAUUAGGUGUGUUGCAAUUAAAUAUUCGACAUUUGACGCCCAUCGUUUUGUACUUGGUAUUUAUAAUACCGGUACAUACAUGAAUGAUUCACUGCUACAAUAAGUAAUUGAAUCCUUAUUGUAUAUGAUUAUAUUGUAAG